RNAcentral lists this long non-coding RNA (812 nucleotides) under Homo sapiens (human). RNAcentral's name for it is "HSALNT0399592". Lineage: Eukaryota; Metazoa; Chordata; Mammalia; Primates; Hominidae. The record is from RNAcentral.
AGAGAGAACCCUUCCUCCGGGGAGGUUACAGUGAGAAGAUAGCCUACGAGGAAGUGGGCCCUCAUCAGACACUGAAACUGCUGGUGUCUUGGUCUUAGACUUCCCAGCCUCCGGAACUUGGAUGGAAACGCAGGACCCAAUCAAAGGCUCUAUGGCUUUGGAUAACACAGCAACUAGACAGAAGGAAACUUGGUACCUGAAUGGCUGUGUGGAGCAAUCUCUCUCACUCCCCUGCCCACCUCUAUUGGACUGUGAUACAAGAUUGGACUGUGAACAAGAAAUAAACAUUAUGAUGUUUAAUCCUAAGAUUUGAGAUUUGUUUAUUAGAGCAAUCAGGCUACUCUGUUGUAAAUUGAUUGCAAAAUUUCCUCCAAUUAUUUCUCUUCCAUACAAUGUGAUUUAGCAGUUUCUUCCAUCAAGUGGUGGUGUUUAUUUUCCAUUCCUUGGACCUAGGUUUGGCCAUGUGUCUUGAACUGGCACAUGAAAUGUAGCAGAAGUGACAGAGCCAGUUCCAAGCCUAGGCCUCAAGAGACCUUGCAGGCUUUUGCUUACUCUUUGAGAUCUCAGACUCCACCACGCGAAGAAGCCAGACUAGUCUGCUGAAGGUUGAGAAACAACAUGGAGAAGAGCGAAUUGUCCAAGCAGACCAGAAGUUAAUAAAUCAAGCCAAGCUGAAUCAACCAAACUCAGACCAGAUCAGCAGAACUUCCGAGCCAGCCAAUCCAUAGAUUUAUGAAAAAUAAUAAGUGGUUGUUUUAUGUCACUAAGUUUUGGAGUUCUUUGUUACACAGCAAGAAAUAACUAAUAUGCCU